UCCUUGGUUGCCUAGUGGUUAGGAUUCUGGGCUUUCACUGCUGUGGCCCAGGUUCAAUCCCUGGUCAGGGAA
Molecule: transfer RNA, 72 nt
Filed under: Muntiacus reevesi (Reeves' muntjac)
Lineage: Eukaryota; Metazoa; Chordata; Mammalia; Artiodactyla; Cervidae
Also listed under: 8 other names
Rfam family: tRNA
About the family: Transfer RNA (tRNA) molecules are approximately 80 nucleotides in length.
Source: Rfam by way of RNAcentral